This 496-nucleotide ribosomal RNA is filed under the name uncultured Glomeromycotina. RNAcentral's name for it is "partial small subunit ribosomal RNA". It matches the Rfam family "Eukaryotic small subunit ribosomal RNA", at positions 591 to 1092 of the family's 1831-position model. The record is from RNAcentral. Lineage: Eukaryota; Fungi; Glomeromycota.
CCAAUAGCGUAUAUUAAAGUUGUUGCAGUUAAAAAGCUCGUAGUUGAAUUUCGGGGUUCUACCGUUGGUCGGGCUAUUGUCUGUACUGGCGUGUAGAAUUUCUACCUUCUGGGGAACUAUCAUGUUAUUAAUUUAGCGUGGUAGGAAACCAGGACCUUUACCUUGAAAAAAUUAGAGUGUUCAAAGCAGGCUUAUGUCUGAAUACAUUAGCAUGGAAUAAUAAAAUAGGACGGUGGUCCUGUUUUGUUGGUUUCUGAAUCACCGUAAUGAUUAAUAGGGAUAGUUGGGGGCAUUAGUAUUCAAUUGUCAGAGGUGAAAUUCUUGGAUUUAUUGAAGACUAACUACUGCGAAAGCAUUUGCCAAGGAUGUUUUCAUUAAUCAAGAACGAAAGUUAGGGGAUCGAAGACGAUCAGAUACCGUCGUAGUCUUAACCAUAAACUAUGCCGACUAGGGAUCGGACGAUGUUAACUUUUCUUGACUCGUUCGGCGCCUUACG